This 343-nucleotide unclassified non-coding RNA is filed under the name soil metagenome. Its description in RNAcentral is "partial contains 5.8S ribosomal RNA, internal transcribed spacer 2, and large subunit ribosomal RNA". The stretch from base 1 to 120 matches the Rfam family "5.8S ribosomal RNA", at positions 35 to 154 of the family's 154-position model. The record is from RNAcentral.
GAUGAAGAACGCAGCGAAAUGCGAUAAGUAAUGUGAAUUGCAGAAUCCAGUGAAUCAUCGAAUCUUUGAACGAACAUUGCGCCCGCCAGCAUUCUGGCGGGCAUGCCUGUUCGAGCGUCAUUUCAACCCUCGACCUCCCUUUGGGGAAGUCGGCGUUGGGGACCGGCAGCACACCGCCGGCCCUGAAAUGGAGUGGCGGCCCGUCCGCGGCGACCUCUGCGUAGUAAUCCAACUCGCACCGGAACCCCGACGCGGCCACGCCGUAAAACACCCAACUUCUGAACGUUGACCUCGAAUCAGGUAGGACUACCCGCUGAACUUAAGCAUAUCAAUAAGCGGAGGA